GAUGAACGCUGGCGGCGUGCCUAAUACAUGCAAGUCGAGCGAACAGACGAGGAGCUUGCUCCUCUGUCGUUAGCGGCGGACGGGUGAGUAACACGUGGAUAACCUACCUUUCAUUCUGGGAUAUCUUCGGGACACCGGAGCUAAUACCGGAUAAUAUAUUGAUCCGCAUGGUUCAAUAGUGAAAGUCGGUUUUUCUGUCUCUUAUCGCUGGUUACGCGCUGCAUUAUCUAGUUGGUAAGGUAACGGCUUACCACGGCGACGAUGCGUAGCCGACCUGAGAGGGGGAUCGGCCAAACGGGAGCUGAGAGGCGACAAGGACACCAAAGGGAGGCAGCGGAAGGGAAUCGGCCGAAGUGGGCGAAAGACUGACGAAGCAACGCAGCGUGAGUGAAGAAGGUCUUCGGAUCGUAAAACUCUGUUAUGGGGGAAGAACAAAUGUGUAAGUAACUAUGCACGACUGAACGGAACCUAAAAAGAAAGCCACGGCUAACUACGU
This 496-nucleotide ribosomal RNA is filed under the name uncultured bacterium. RNAcentral's name for it is "partial 16S ribosomal RNA". It matches the Rfam family "Bacterial small subunit ribosomal RNA", at positions 28 to 506 of the family's 1533-position model. The record is from RNAcentral.